This is a long non-coding RNA of Girardinichthys multiradiatus, 715 nucleotides long. RefSeq lists it as uncharacterized. NCBI's taxonomy places the organism in Eukaryota, Metazoa, Chordata, Actinopteri, Cyprinodontiformes, Goodeidae. The transcript has 3 exons. The record is from RefSeq and is a predicted model, not a curated record.
GGAGUAUUUAGGAGCCUGCCACCAGUUCUUCAUUGCCUGAGUGUUUUUUCCCAUGUGUACCUGUGAGGUGUGGACGGUUUCCUCUUCACCUGGACCUGGACUUCCAGUAUCUCUCUCUACAGUUUGUGAACUUUGGAUCAUCACCACUAGACUGUGGUUUGGAUCCUAAAUUGCCCAAGCUUCGACCUCUGUCUGGACACUGAUCUGUGGUGGACCUCUCUUAUUGGACUUGCCUUCUGGAUAACCUGACUUCCAAGCCCAAUGGUAAAGAACCCCCGGAGUUUGCUACCUGUGACCCAAAGAACCAGAAAAGUCAGAAGUACCUGCCUGAGUAUUUCCUAAUGGGUUUCCAGUGUGACUUGAAACAUUGACGGUAUAUAAACCUUUGAACCUUUACUGGUCUCCUGAGUGAGUUUGCACGUGGGUCAAACAAAUCCCUAAAGAGAUGACAGAUACUAAGCUUUGGCAAACCAUUGAUACAGUGAUUGGCCGAGAACAUCAUAAAUGUCAGAAAAUCAAACUUAAUAUAAACUUGAAUAUUGAAAAUGGCUCUAGAAUUGUGCCAAAUUAUUUUAAGAAUUACUUUAUAGAAUCAGCCAAAGAAUUAUACAGAAGUCCAAAUGAUUUGAUUCUGAUUUAACUGAUCUAAAUUGAUAAAAUGUUCUGUAGUUCAAAACAAUCAAUAAAUAUAAAAUAAAAGAUUUACUGUCACUUA